CCAGGUUAAAAAUCAACGACAAAGAAAGCAACGACAACAAGAACAACAAGCCAGUGAAUCACAAGCUCAAACUCCCCUCAAGUCAGAGAGAAGAAGAAGAAGAGGGGUCAGCUCUCACAAACAAAAGCAAAGCAAGUAAUCGAAACAGAGGAACAAGAAGAAGAAGACAUGGGUAUUCUUCAUGACGACGUCGUAAUCAUCACAGAGCCAGAGAAAGAAGGCGACCCAACUGUGCUUACCAUAAAUUGCCCAGACAAAACAGGCUUGGGUUGUGACUUGUGUCGCAUCAUUCUCUUUUUUGGACUUAGCAUUGUCAGAGGAGAUGUAUCAACGGAUGGGAAGUGGUGCUUCUUAGUGUUUUGGGUGGUGGGGAACUCAGAAACAAGGUGGGGCUUGCUGAAGAAGAGGUUAAUGGAGACUUGUCCUUCUUUUUCUUCAGCUUCUGGGAUUUCCUUUUAUUGCCAUGAGUUGCAGCCCCCAAAGCCUCCAGAUGUAUUUCUUCUCAAGUUCUGUUGUUAUGAUCGGCAAGGGAUUUUACAUGAUGUGACUGAGGUUCUAUGUGAGCUUGAGCUAACCAUAAAGAAAGUCAAGGUAUCCACCACUCCAGAUGGAAAAGUGAUGGAUCUGUUUUUCGUCACAGACACCAGGGAACUUCUGCAUACAAAUAAGAGAAAGGACGAGGUAUCUGACCACUUAAAAGCUGCUACAGGCAAUGCCAUGAUAAGUUGUGAUAUUGAAAUGGUCCGUUCUGAGAUUACUGCAUGCUCUCAAUCGCCUUCAUUUCUCCCGUCCCUUCUUAUGGAAGACAUGUUUCAUUUGAAAAUGCCUGAUGAACUCCCAAGUGGAUUACUCACCUCUAGCUGUGUUUCCGUGAAUAUGGACAACUCGCUCAGUCCUGGCCACACACUCGUCCAAAUCAUGUGCAAAGAUCACAAAGGCCUCCUUUAUGAUAUAAUGAGAACUCUAAAGGAUUAUAAUAUUCAGAUCUCUUAUGGGCGCUUCUCUAUGAAACAAAGAACCUGUGAGAUUGACUUGUUCAUCAUGCAAGCUGAUGGUAAGAAGAUACUUGAUCCAAGCAAGCAGAAUGCUUUGAAAUCUCGGUUACAGAUAGAACUACUCCGUCCUCUCAGAGUAGCUGUUGUUAGCAAAGGUCCUGAUACAGAGCUGCUGGUUGCUAAUCCCGUGGAAUUAUCUGGGAAGGGUCGGCCUCUUGUUUUUUAUGAUAUAACCCUUGCUCUCAAGCUGCUGAACACUGGCAUAUUUUCGGCCAAGAUUGGAAGGCAUUUAGUUAAAGAUCGGGAAUGGGAAGUUUAUCGAGUCUUGCUUGAUGAAGGAGAUGACUUGCCAGUUCCAAGGAAUAAGAUUGAGGAACGAGUUUGGAAGAUGUUGAUGGGUUGGGAGUGAUACCAAAUUCUGUUGCCAUUGUUCUUGGAUCGCUGCAUGCUACUGUACAGCUAUAUCACUACCUGCAAUCUCUGGAAUGUAUAUUGUUAAAAGGCCAAAGCAGUUGCAUAGUUUGACGUUUACAACUUCUGUAUAGUAUGAAUGAGAAGAUAUCAGUAAUGGGGACAUGGAAAAGAAGAGUUCAAGUACAGUUAUGAUGGCACUUGCAUAUUGUUGUACAAAGGUCAAAAGUUCUCCCACUUUCACGAGUGCACAUAAAAUUUGAGCUUCAAUGGAGUUCACUGCAACUUGAGCACUACGUGACACUCAAUGGAAACCCAGGCUUGAAGGAGGCGAAGACAAGAUCAAAUUGAACUGUGGCCCUUUUCUUCAAACAUAUUGGCUCUUUUAUGAUCUUUGAUUCCAGAAACUACGCCCCAGAAUGUAAUUUCAGCAAAUAUGACAUAUAAGAGGGUUCCCAGCCUCUCUGAGUGCCAUACAUUGUUAAAGACAUGCUCCUGGAUCCAGUUCACCUGUUUCAGUGGUGUUUUGUUCCAAGAUUCAUUAGAUU
This is an RNA transcript of Argentina anserina (silverweed cinquefoil), 1954 nucleotides long. It is a transcript of the gene named ACT domain-containing protein ACR10, with no coding region annotated. NCBI's taxonomy places the organism in Eukaryota, Viridiplantae, Streptophyta, Magnoliopsida, Rosales, Rosaceae. The record is from RefSeq and is a predicted model, not a curated record. The transcript has 10 exons.